This 625-nucleotide long non-coding RNA is filed under the name Citrus sinensis (sweet orange). Its description in RNAcentral is "long non-coding RNA (CSIN_LNC001533)". The record is from RNAcentral. Lineage: Eukaryota; Viridiplantae; Streptophyta; Magnoliopsida; Sapindales; Rutaceae.
CACAAUAAAUGAAUCUCAAAUUAAUAAUUUUACUGCAAAUUAGGAAGUACAAUCAACCCAGCAUAAGAAUCCAAAACUUUAAACCACCACAAUUUCCUCACCUUAUCUGCUACAAGCAUAGCAUGAAGAUGAACAAAAGCAGGUGAGGCAUCACCCAUAACAACCUCUCUUAGACAGAUUCUGCAGCUACUCAUAUCAGUCAUAUAUACAUGCACAAGUGCGUGGGUACGUAAACACAAAGAGAGAGAGAGAGAGGGCAAAUUAUCCUGAGUUAGAAAUUAUCAUGCUUCCCCAUUAUUUCGAGCUGUUUUUUUUUUAUGGGAGAGAGUUGAACACAACAAUACUCAGAGGAGGGUUUGCGAAGAAGAUGAAGAAAUAGAUUUAUGAAUGAGAGGGAGGGAGGAGGUUUUUUUGCAGAGUGUUGCACCAGUUUGUGCAGUAAUCUUUGAAGGUAAGUGUUUGCGAUUUCUUACGGGAGAAAAAAGAAGCAAAGGAUCUUGGCAUCUUUGAAGAAGAUGAUGAUUUGAGCUUGAUGUGCUUUGAAGAAGAUGAUGAUUUGAGAUGAUGAUUUGAGCUUGAUGUGAGCAAAUUUGUUGUUUCUUCAUAAGCAGCCAGAGAAAAGGAU